This 77-nucleotide transfer RNA is filed under the name Enterocloster bolteae. RNAcentral's name for it is "tRNA-Glu". It matches the Rfam family "tRNA". Rfam says of the family: Transfer RNA (tRNA) molecules are approximately 80 nucleotides in length. Their secondary structure includes four short double-helical elements and three loops (D, anti-codon, and T loops). Lineage: Bacteria; Bacillati; Bacillota; Clostridia; Lachnospirales; Lachnospiraceae. The record is from RNAcentral.
GGCUCCAUGGUCUAACGGUAUGGUAUGACUCGGCCCUUUCAAGGCCGAAACGCGCGGUUCGAUCCCGGCUGGAGUCA